CGUACACUCCUACGGGAGGCAGCAGUGGGGAAUAUUGGACAAUGGGCGCAAGCCUGAUCCAGCCAUGCCGCGUGAGUGAUGAAGGCCCUAGGGUUGUAAAGCUCUUUCACCGGUGAAGAUAAUGACGGUAACCGGAGAAGAAGCCCCGGCUAACUUCGUGCCAGUAGCCGCGGUAAUACGAAGGGGGCUAGCGUUGUUCGGAUUUACUGGGCGUAAAGCGCACGUAGGCGGACUAUUAAGUCAGGGGUGAAAUCCCGGGGCUCAACCCCGGAACUGCCUUUGAUACUGGUAGUCUUGAGUUCGAGAGAGGUGAGUGGAAUUCCGAGUGUAGAGGUGAAAUUCGUAGAUAUUCGGAGGAACACCAGUGGCGAAGGCGGCUCACUGGCUCGAUACUGACGCUGAGGUGCGAAAGCGUGGGGAGCAAACAGGAUUAGAUACCCUUGUAGUCCCA
RNAcentral lists this ribosomal RNA (451 nucleotides) under uncultured organism. RNAcentral's name for it is "partial 16S ribosomal RNA". It matches the Rfam family "Bacterial small subunit ribosomal RNA", at positions 330 to 797 of the family's 1533-position model. The record is from RNAcentral.